UAAACAAUCAUUUGAAAAACAGUAAAUAAAAUGGAUACCGAGCGUGAUGAUAUAUCCUUACACCACUGUGCUAACUAGCCACUUGUGCGUAAUUUUAAAACCAGGGUGGGGGAAAAAAUGUUGGUAAAGAUGACGACAAAAAUCUGUCAAUACAAAAUAUUCUGCCUCAAAACUGUAAUUUGAACAGUAAUUUUGAAACCAAUGUUCCACAAUCCGGAACCAAUGUGUGGCCAAUUCUAAGUGACCACACGGACAUUUGUUGCUGGCAGAAUCUACGUCUUCCUUACUUCUUUCCAAGCCAGACUCAAAAAUUUUAAAAGUGGCCCAAGAUUUGGGAACGCUUUAAAGUAACCUAACUUACCUGAGUGAUCGAUGGAAUAAUCAAUAGGAUCAAAAGUUUGUUACUGAUAGCCCAACUUCAAACCUCAUAUGCCCGUAAAGUCAAAAACCGAGGAUGCUGUAUCUGUGUUCGAACAACUCACAGCUUAGCUAUUACUUAGAAUCCACGGCAUGACAUCAAUCCUCUUAAGUUGCUUAACUCACACGCUCUACUGUGGCCUGCAUUCGCAGUUUUGAAGAGGGCGAAAAACGCAUCUGGAAUUAAACGCUUCAAAUUAUUUCGCUCCCUCUCUCGCUGUCUAGAGAGAGGCGCUCUACUAAAAUAAAUGAGUCAGCCCCUUGGAAAGAUGGAUUUGAUAACUCAGCAGAAGUGUGGGGGGGGGCGAUCGAAAGUGACACAGAAUGAGAGAGAGAUGAUAUCGGAAUGAGAUUUGCUCAAAUGAAGAGGAUAUUAGGGCAGCUGUGAAGGAUAUGAAGCUGCCUGAAGCGCUUGUAAAAAUGAGUGAUCUCCUCAAGCCGCUUCUGCUCCUCACGCAGCCCAAUAAACCAGACCUGACAUAGCUCAUAAAGUCGCAGAAUUAGUCGGGCAACUUUUCGAAACCGUAGCCUUAGAUAGCUACGCAGCAAUAUAAUUGUCACGUUUUCGCGCCGCAUGUGUAAUGGAGUGUGUCCGUUUCUGUGUGUUGCAUUUGGUUAAUGAGUUUGACAGCGAGAAUGCUGCCUCGUGCUCGUCUCGGUUGAUCAAAGGUUGCGCUUGACGCGAGGAUGAAGAGUGUGAGGGAAUAACCGAUUCUGAUCCGGCAGGAAGCCGACUGCGAUUGGUCGGGCUUGCGAGCAUCCGUCACUCUUUUGAUGGUCGAUUGGGUCUUGAUGGAGGUUGAGUUAAGUUUACUCUGCUCUGGCUUUGCUUGAGUUCAAGAUCGGUCAAAAUCAACAUCAUCCGUGAUGAGGUUUAGAGGAAAAGCUCUGCACUGGCGAAUGGAAUAUUAUCGAGGAGUGUUAGGGCCAAACUGAAGGAGGAAAAAGUUGGUCAGAUUGUGAGAAAAAGGCUUUUAUUACGAAUAUUACAAGACGUUUGAGAAUUGUUUUCACAAACGCAGAAGGAAUAGUCUGCUCCAAAAAGAUGAUGUGAUGAAAAUCAAAUCAAAUGACAGAAGAGGAGGCAGCGUGAUACCAUAGAAGUCCGACCUGCAUUCUUCUUGACAGAAAGAAAGCAACAGCAAAGUCACACUUCGUUCCGACGGCGAUGAAGAUCAUCAAUUAUCGCAAUCACAAGGGCACCCAAAGGACGGUGAAAUGUUUGUGUUGGUGUUGCCUUGACAGGUGUAAAGAGCUCACACUGUAAUUUGUCACUUUUAUUUAUUUCACCAAGAUUGAUGACUUCAACGGCAGAAUGUGAAAAUCAGCUGUAAACAAAUAAAGGAGCAGAGUUACUGGACCCGCAAGUCAUCAAUCACUCAUCCACACACA
Long non-coding RNA from Hippocampus comes (tiger tail seahorse), 1809 nucleotides. RefSeq lists it as uncharacterized. The transcript has 2 exons. Lineage: Eukaryota; Metazoa; Chordata; Actinopteri; Syngnathiformes; Syngnathidae. The record is from RefSeq and is a predicted model, not a curated record.